This 26-nucleotide ribosomal RNA is filed under the name Fagus grandifolia subsp. mexicana. Its description in RNAcentral is "partial 28S ribosomal RNA". Lineage: Eukaryota; Viridiplantae; Streptophyta; Magnoliopsida; Fagales; Fagaceae. The record is from RNAcentral.
GCUCCCGACGCGACCCCAGGUCAGGC